Molecule: long non-coding RNA, 686 nt
Filed under: Homo sapiens (human)
Lineage: Eukaryota; Metazoa; Chordata; Mammalia; Primates; Hominidae
Description: non-protein coding ZRANB2-AS2:45
Source: RNAcentral
GGAGCUGGAAAGGUGGAGGCGGAAGUGACUGAUCAAUUCAGGGGCGUGGGGUUCGUUUAGGUUUUGCCCUGUGUAUGACCUCGUUUGGAGCCAUGAAACCAGUGUCUACUCAAAAAUACUUGGAAAACUUUGCUCAAGGAUCUGAAGUCUCUCCUCACCUCUUGUCUUCUAAGAUACUGCUUCUAUCUCUGUGUGUCCUCUUUAAUAUCUAAUAAAACUAAAGUGGAUCAGAUGAUCAACAGCAUUACAUAAAUUCUAUAUAUCAGAUGAGGAAAAGUGAAGGUAAACCCAAAAAGCUAAGAAACAAUGUAAGGGAGGAGCUAAGAUGGCCGAAAAGGAACAGCUCCGGUCUACAGCUCCCAGCGUGAGCGACGCAGAAGAUGGGUGAUUUCUGCAUUUCCAUCUGAGCUUUGAAGAGAGCAGUGGUUCUCCCAGCACGCAGCUGGAGAUCUGAGAAUGGGCAGACUGCCUCCUCAAGUGGGUCCCUGACCCCUGACCCCCGAGCAGCCUAACUGGGAGGCACCCCCCAGCAGGGGCAGACUGACACCUCACAUGGCUGGGUACUCCAACACACCUGCAGCUGAGGGUCCUGUCUGUUAGAAGGAAAACUAACUAACAGAAAGGACAUCCACACCAAAAACCCAUCUGUACAUCACCAUCAUCAAAGACCAAAAGUAGAUAAAACC